CUGAAGGCUGUUUUAAUGCCCAGUUGAUAUCUGUACUGAAGGCUGUUUUAAUGCCCAGUUGAUAUCUGUAUCGAAGGUGAAGGAUGUCUUAAUGCCCAGUUGAUAUCUGUAUCGAAGGUGAAGGAUGUUUUAAUGCCCAGUUGAUAUCUGUAUCGAAGGUGAAGGAUGUUUUAAUGCCCAGUUGAUAUCUGUAUCGAAGGUGAAGGAUGUUUUAAUGCCCAGUUGAUAUCUGUAUCGAAGGUGAAGGAUGUUUUAAUGCCCAGUUGAUAUCUGUAUCGAAGGUGAAGGAUGUUUUAAUGCCCAGUUGAUAUCUGUAUCGAAGGUGAAGGAUGUUUUAAUGCCCAGUUGAUAUCUGUAUCGAAGGUGAAGGCUGUUUUAAUGCCCAGUUGAUAUCUGUAUCGAAGGUGAAGGAUGUUUUAAUGCCCAGUUGAUAUCUGUAUCGAAGGUGAAGGAUGUUUUAAUGCCCAGUUGAUAUCUGUAUCGAAGGUGAAGGAUGUUUUAAUGCCCAGUUGAUAUCUGUAUUGAAGGUGAAGGAUGUUUUAAUGCCCAGUUGAUAUCUGUAUCGAAGGUGAACUCAC
Oncorhynchus keta (chum salmon) is the source of this 578-nucleotide long non-coding RNA. RefSeq lists it as uncharacterized. The record is from RefSeq and is a predicted model, not a curated record. Lineage: Eukaryota; Metazoa; Chordata; Actinopteri; Salmoniformes; Salmonidae. The transcript is spliced from 4 exons.